CAGAGUCAGAAUCUCUCUCUAAUCGUGGAAGUCUUUCUCUCUGUCAACGCCAAAUUUGAAGUUACACUAAAACCCUGAAGAAACCCCAACUCGCCGCCGAUGCUUCUACGCCUCACUCUUUUUUCUCCCCGCAACUGCCGCCGUCUUUCCACCGCCGCUUCUCCUCCUCUUCUAUGGGAGCACCCUGGCCAGCAAUCCACCACUCUACAGCUUUUCUCCUGGGGACGUGGCGCCUCCGGUCAGCUCGGCGGCGGCAUCGAGGAAGUCAGGAUGUACCCUUCCCCUGUUUCUACUCUAUCCCUGCCGCCUAAUUUCUCCCUCUCCGGCAUCAUCCCUGGCCGUCUCUCUCAGCCAUUCACCUCUCGCGUCGAGGUCGGGAUCUCCUGCGGCCUGUUCCAUUCGGGCUUGGUGGUGGAUGGGAAGCUCUGGAUGUGGGGGAAAGGGGACGGUGGUCGCCUAGGGUUCGGACAUGAAAAUCCAGUAUUUGUUCCCACGCCAAAUUUUAAUUUGGAGUCUGAUGUUCGAACCAUCGCUCUCGGCGGCCUCCAUUCUGUCGCGCUAGAUGUCCAUGGCCGGGUCUUCACUUGGGGCUACGGUGGAUUUGGUGCUCUUGGACAUUCUGUGUAUCACAGAGAGCUGUUACCUAAAAUGGUUGAGGGAUCUUGGGAUGGAAAGAUUUCUCAUAUUGCAACAAGUGGUACACAUACGGCUGCUAUCACAGAAGCUGGCAAACUUUAUAUUUGGGGACGAGAUGAAGGUGAUGGCAGAUUAGGACUUGGUCCUGGACGUGGCCCAGAUCAUGCUGGUGGCCUCAGCACACCUUCUGAAGUGAAAGCAUUGCCUGUGCCAGUGGCUGCUGUUUCUUGUGGUGGUUUUUUCACAAUGGCAUUGACUGAGGAUGGGCAGCUUUGGAAUUGGGGUGCCAACUCUAACUAUGAGCUUGGUCGAGGUGAUAAAGUUGGUGGCUGGAGGCCUCAACCUGUUCCUAGCCUAAAAGAUGUUCGUAUAAUUCAAAUAGCUAGUGGUGGAUAUCACUCUCUUGCUUUGACAGACAAAGGAGAAGUUCUUUCAUGGGGUCAUGGCGGACAUGGUCAACUAGGUCAUUCUUCUCUACAUAGUCGAAAGGUUCCUGAACCUGUUGAGGGCUUAUCCAAUGAACAGAUCUCUUUUAUUGCUUGUGGAGGUUCAUCAUCUGCUGCUGUAACAGAUAAGGGAAAGCUGUAUAUGUGGGGCAAUGCUGCCGAUAAUCAACUAGGGGUUCCAGGACUUCCAGAGGUUCAGUCAUCACCUAUCGAGCUUAACUUUCUUUCAGAAGAUGAUGGGCUUGGGGGGCACAACGUACUUUGUGUUGCAUGUGGAGCUUCUCAUGCCAUGUGUCUUGUUCAAAGGUCAGGCUGCUGAUAGGCAUUCCAUUUGCUCAUAUUUGGUUUACCUGUUACUUUCCAGCGUGAAAUAUAGAAUCGUUGGAGCUUUGAACUGCCAGAGGUAUUUCACUAUUGUUGGAAGCAGACUGUGAACUGUGAUGCACCCAAUUACUCCGACCCAAAGAUCUGCACGUGACUGUUUUGAUGCUGCGAGUGCGUAGUCUGCUUCUCUAGUUGGAAAUGAUCCUCCUCAGGUUGAUAGCGAACUAGAUGACACAGAUGAUGUGCACAUAGUUUGUCUUGUCAUAUUAAAAACUUGGUACCUGGGUGCUAUUAAUACACUUAACCUUUGGAAUGUUGAUGUUUUUGUGUUUGAUAAUAUCAAUAAGUCAUGAGAUUUGCAUAUUGCUGGUGACAAUGAACUAAAAUACCCAGAUGAAUAUACUAGGUUGUUUAUUUAUAUUUUUAGAAAUGUCUGGACAUGCCAAUCAAUCAUUAGAUCACAUACAAUAAACUUCUCAUGUAAAAAAAAUAUUAAAAUUCAAAACACCAA
This is an RNA transcript of Andrographis paniculata, 1917 nucleotides long. It is a transcript of the gene named RCC1 domain-containing protein RUG3, mitochondrial, with no coding region annotated. The transcript is spliced from 7 exons. Lineage: Eukaryota; Viridiplantae; Streptophyta; Magnoliopsida; Lamiales; Acanthaceae. The record is from RefSeq and is a predicted model, not a curated record.